RNAcentral lists this ribosomal RNA (496 nucleotides) under uncultured bacterium. RNAcentral's name for it is "partial 16S ribosomal RNA". It matches the Rfam family "Bacterial small subunit ribosomal RNA", at positions 29 to 507 of the family's 1533-position model. The record is from RNAcentral.
AUGAACGCUGGCGGCGUGCCUAAUACCUGCAAGUCGCGCGAACAGAUAAGGAGCUUGCUCCUUUGACGUUAGCGGCGGACGGGUGAGUAACACGUGGGUAACCUACCUAUAAGACUGGAAUAACUCCGGGAAACCGGGGCUAAUGCCGGAUAACAUUUAGAACCGCAUGGUUCUAAAGUGAAAGAUGGUUUUGCUAUCACUUAUAGAUGGACCCGCGCCGUAUUAGCUAGUUGGUAAGGUAACGGCUUACCAAGGCAACGAUACGUAGCCGACCUGAGAGGGUGAUCGGCCACACUGGAACUGAGACACGGUCCAGACUCCUACGGGAGGCAGCAGUAGGGAAUCUUCCGCAAUGGGCGAAAGCCUGACGGAGCAACGCCGCGUGAGUGAUGAAGGUCUUCGGAUCGUAAAACUCUGUUAUUAGGGAAGAACAAAUGUGUAAGUAACUGUGCACGUCUUGACGGUACCUAAUCAGAAAGCCACGGCUAACUACGUG